Molecule: long non-coding RNA, 1314 nt
Organism: Alnus glutinosa
Lineage: Eukaryota; Viridiplantae; Streptophyta; Magnoliopsida; Fagales; Betulaceae
Exons: 3
Source: RefSeq, a predicted model, not a curated record
UAAAAAAAAGCCCUCUACAAUCCACAGAUUUGUUACAAACAUCAAAAGCCGCCAUCAAGCACUUAACGGGGUGUCGGUGCCCUUCCAACAUAGCCAAACAACUGAAAUAAAAAUAUUUAUUAUUUAAUAAAAAAAAAAUUGAAACACGAAUACCUCUUCUCUACUCCUCUCCUCCAGAUCCUAAUUGUUUUGUUAACCGACCCACUGCACACCAAAUGCUUUGUUGUGGCCCCUAAGCACACCCACCAACACCAUAUGUCCACCGCCAUUAGGCCCAUCACCGCCUCUGGAUUCACCAUCUUUCUCCCACAUAAGAAUCAAUCGAUCAGAGGCGGGCACCGAAAUAGAGAACAGAGUCUACAGACCCAUCAGCCAUCACCCAUCGAUGCUUAGAGCCGAGGCUUUAACAGCCGACUUGUGCUUCGUCUCUAACAUAGCCAACACAAUAUCGCUUUAAGUGGAGCAAAACCACUCUAUGCAAGUCGCACUUUUUGAGAUUGCUGAAGUGAUAGCCCAAGCUCCAAAAAAUGCCUCUUAUACAUCACCAACAAUACAAAAAGAAAUUUUACAUAUUUUUUCAACCAAAGUAAGGAGGCAAUUCGCAAAGAAAUUGGUAAUGCAAAUUUUUGCAUAAUUUUUAAUGAAGCUCGUGAUGAGUCAAUGAAAGAGCAAAAUGCUAUAGUUUUAAAAUUUGUCAACAAAGAUGGUUUUGUGCAGGAACUUUUUUGGGGCUUGUUCAUGUCGCUAAUACUGUGGCACUAACCCUACAAAAGGGUAUAUAUUUUGUAUUGUCGCAACAUAAGUUAGCCAUUGAAAAUAUUCAUGGGCAAGGAUAUGACGACGCAAGUAACAUGCGAGGUGGGUGGAAUGGGUUGCAAGCUUUGGUUUCAAAUGAUCGUCCAUAUCCCUACUACAUUCAUUGUUUCGCACAUCGUUGGCAAUUGGCAUUAGUGGUGGCGUCAAAAGAAGUUAUUCAUGUUCAUCAAUUUUUCACUAAGUUGAGUUCUAUUGUCAAUAUUGUUUGUGCCUCAUGCAAUCGAUUUGAAGAAGUUAUGCAUGUUCUGAAAUUGCUUACCUGAUUGAAAUUGAUGAGAUUGAGAGUGGAAGAGGACUUAAUCAAAUUAGUACUUUACAACAGGUUGGAGAUACUCGUUGGAGUUCUUACUUGAGAUCAGUUUCUAGCUUGAUCAAAAAUUUUAGUCCAACUUGUGAAGUUAUUCUUAAAAUCAUUCAUAUGGGAACUACUUCUUCCUAACAAGCAGAAGCAUAUUCAGUUUAUCAAGUAAUGACUUCAUUUGAAUUUGUCUUCAUCUU